RNAcentral lists this non-coding RNA (148 nucleotides) under Homo sapiens (human). Lineage: Eukaryota; Metazoa; Chordata; Mammalia; Primates; Hominidae. The record is from Rfam by way of RNAcentral.
GCUGGGCGUGGUGGCGGGCACCUGUAAUCCCAGCUACUCGGGAGGCUGAGGCAGGAGAAUCGCUUGAACCCAGGAGGCAGAGGUUGCAGUGAGCUAAGAUCCUGCCACUGCACUCCAGCCUGGGCAACAGAGUGAGACUCUGCCUCAA